This 86-nucleotide transfer RNA is filed under the name candidate division WWE3 bacterium. Its description in RNAcentral is "tRNA-Tyr". It matches the Rfam family "tRNA". From Rfam's summary of the family: Transfer RNA (tRNA) molecules are approximately 80 nucleotides in length. Their secondary structure includes four short double-helical elements and three loops (D, anti-codon, and T loops). Lineage: Bacteria; candidate division WWE3. The record is from RNAcentral.
GCCGGGGUACCGAAGCGGUCAAACGGAACUGUCUGUAAAACAGUCGGCAUUAGCCUACAUAGGUUCGAAUCCUAUCCCCGGCACCA